Molecule: long non-coding RNA, 498 nt
Organism: Mastomys coucha (southern multimammate mouse)
Lineage: Eukaryota; Metazoa; Chordata; Mammalia; Rodentia; Muridae
Exons: 2
Source: RefSeq, a predicted model, not a curated record
UAGGAGACAAGCUAACAAACAUCUCUCUAUCCCUCGCUCUUGGUAGCCAUGGCUGCUGACGUGAACCUCCUGAGCCUCCAGACUCUGCCACAAUGACCAGAGACCAUCCGAGACCACCCGAGACUUCAAGGGCAAGUAAUCUUCAUGGUCAAACAUUAUCUACAGUCAAACCUUUCUUCGUGGUCAAGUAUAACACUCCGGCCGAGAGAUAGCUGGACCUGCUUCCAGAGACACUGUCAGAUACUCCAUUGGUUCUGCUCCUCUGGAGAGCACCGACUAAUAUGAUAUUGAUUGGAAGCAGAGAGAUAAAAGGAUCAUGAAGGGCUGAUGAAAGAAGCCAACUGAAAAUAGAAUUUUCAACUGAUGACAACGUACUGCUGUUCUAUAGCUAGAGCAGCCAGCCAUACAUGCUUCCUUCUGAUUUCCCUUGUACUUACUUGCAUAAAUUAAUAUGUAACUUAAAAAAUCAAAUAAAAAAUAAUGCCACCUCAAGAUAGA